CCGGUUGAUCCUGCCGGAGGCUACCGCUAUUGGAGUUCGAUUAAGCCAUGCGAGUCCAGAGCUUUCGGAGCUCGGCGUACCGCUCAGUAACACGUGGGUAACCUAACCUAUGCAGGGGAAUAACCUCGGGAAACUGAGAAUAAUGCCCCAUAGUCCACUACGCCUGGAACGGUGAGUGGAUGAAAGCUCAGGCGGCAUAGGAUGGGCCUGCGGCGUAUCAGGUUGUAGGGGGUGUAAAGUACCCUCUAGCCCUCUACGCGUACGGGUGUUGGGAGACAUAGCCCGGAGAUGGAUUCUGAGACACGAAUCCAGACCCUACGGGGUGCAGCAGGCGCGAAAACUUGGCAAUGCGAGCAAUCGUGACCAGGGAACUCCAAGUGGCUGGGGUAAGACCCAGUCUUUUCAGAACUCUUCAAAGGUUUUAGAAUAAGGGGUGGGUAAGGACGGUGCCAGCCGCCGCGGUAAUACCGGCGCCUCAAGUGGUAGUCGCUUUUAUUGGGCCUAAAACGUCCGUAGCCGGUUUGGUACAUUCGUGGGUAAAUCAACUCGCUCAACGAGUUGAAUUCUGCGAGGACGGCCAGACUUGGGACCGGGAGAGGUGUGGGGUACUCUCAGGGUAGGGGUAAAAUCCUGUCAUCCUGAGAGGACCACCUGUUGCGAAGGCGCCACACUAGAACGGAUCCGACGGUCAGGGACGAAGCCUAGGGGCACGAACCGGAUUAGAUACCCGGGUAGUCCUAGGUGUAAACGCUGUGGACUUGAUGUUGGAGGAGCUCCGAGCUCUUUCAGUGUCGAAGCGAAGGUGAUAAGUCCACUGCCUGGGAAGUACGGUCGCAAGGCUGAAACUUAAAGGAAUUGGCGGGGGAGCACCGCAACCUGAGGAUUGUGCGGUUUAAUUGGAGUCA
This 905-nucleotide ribosomal RNA is filed under the name uncultured marine archaeon. RNAcentral's name for it is "bacterial SSU rRNA". It matches the Rfam family "Archaeal small subunit ribosomal RNA", at positions 4 to 914 of the family's 1478-position model. The record is from RNAcentral.